CAAAAACAUCGCCUCUUGAAUUAAAUAUAAGAGGUCCAGCCUGCCCAGUGACUCUGUUCAACGGCCGCGGUAUCCUAACCGUGCGAAGGUAGCGUAAUCACUUGUCCUUUAAAUGGGGACUAGUAUGAACGGCACCACGAAGGUUUUACUGUCUCCUUUUUCUAAUCAGUGAAACUAAUCUCCCCGUGAAGAAGCGGGAAUAAACCUAUAAGACGAGAAGACCCUAUGGAGCUUUAAACCACGUAACACUUGUACCAACUCAAUGUAAAUUUCCGAAGAGCCUAUUUUACCAAUGCAAGAUUAUUACCAGUUUUAGGUUGGGGUGACCGCGGAGCAAAAAACAACCUCCACAUUGAAAGGAUUAAUUAUCCUGAGCAAAGAACAACACCUCUAUGCACCAUUACAAUGACAUCAAUUGACCCAAUAUUUUGAUCAACGAACCAAGUUACCCUAGGGAUAACAGCGCAAUCCACUUCGAGAGCUCCUAUCGACAAGUGGGUUUACGACCUCGAUGUUGGAUCAGGGUAUCCCGGUGGUGCAGCCGCUACCAAAGGUUCG
RNAcentral lists this ribosomal RNA (558 nucleotides) under Sachatamia albomaculata (white-spotted cochran frog). Its description in RNAcentral is "partial 16S ribosomal RNA". It matches the Rfam family "Bacterial large subunit ribosomal RNA", at positions 1808 to 2575 of the family's 2925-position model. Lineage: Eukaryota; Metazoa; Chordata; Amphibia; Anura; Centrolenidae. The record is from RNAcentral.